Molecule: transfer RNA, 70 nt
Filed under: Fulmarus glacialis (Northern fulmar)
Lineage: Eukaryota; Metazoa; Chordata; Aves; Procellariiformes; Procellariidae
Rfam family: tRNA
About the family: Transfer RNA (tRNA) molecules are approximately 80 nucleotides in length.
Source: Rfam by way of RNAcentral
CAGAGAACAGUUUAAUGUAAAAUGCCAGCUUUGGGAGUCGGAGAUAAAAGUUUAAGUCCUUUUUUUCUGA